AGGUGAACCUGCGGAAGGAUCAUUAGUGAAUAUAGGACGUCCAACUUAACUUGGAGUCCGAACUCUCACUUUCUAACCCUGUGCACUUGUUUGGGAUAGUAACUCUCGCAAGAGAGCGAACUCCUAUUCACUUAUAAACACAAAGUCUAUGAAUGUAUUAAAUUUUAUAACAAAAUAAAACUUUCAACAACGGAUCUCUUGGCUCUCGCAUCGAUGAAGAACGCAGCGAAAUGCGAUAAGUAAUGUGAAUUGCAGAAUUCAGUGAAUCAUCGAAUCUUUGAACGCACCUUGCGCUCCAUGGUAUUCCGUGGAGCAUGCCUGUUUGAGUGUCAUGAAUACUUCAACCCUCCUCUUUCUUAAUGAUUGAAGAGGUGUUUGGUUUCUGAGCGCUGCUGGCCUUUACGGUCUAGCUCGUUCGUAAUGCAUUAGCAUCCGCAAUCGAACUUCGGAUUGACUUGGCGUAAUAGACUAUUCGCUGAGGAAUUCUAGUCUUCGGAUUAGAGCCGGGUUGGGUUAAAGGAAGCUUCUAAUCAGAAUGUCUACAUUUUAAGAUUAGAUCUCAAAUCAGGUAGGACUACCCGCUGAACUUAA
Molecule: ribosomal RNA, 591 nt
Filed under: Rhodotorula mucilaginosa
Lineage: Eukaryota; Fungi; Basidiomycota; Microbotryomycetes; Sporidiobolales; Sporidiobolaceae
Description: eukaryotic LSU rRNA
Rfam family: 5.8S ribosomal RNA (bases 179-332)
Source: RNAcentral